This 126-nucleotide non-coding RNA is filed under the name unclassified sequences. RNAcentral's name for it is "Bacteriophage Diversity-Generating Retroelement RNA". It matches the Rfam family "Bacteriophage Diversity-Generating Retroelement RNA". The record is from Rfam by way of RNAcentral.
ACACCGCCGCGCCGCUUCGGCGUUGCGGGCUGGUGGUCAGCCCGGCUGUCCUGCUUCGGCAAACACACUUCACGGUCCGGCAGAGCGGGGCGUAGCGGGCUUUGCCCGUCGAGACCCGCGGCCGGU